GGCUCUGUUGUGUUUUCCCCACAAGGGAGAAAUUCUCUUUCCAAGUGAAAACUAUGCAAGACAAGAGGACUCUAAGUUCAUAGUGCAGAGGUUUGAGCAGGAGAGAAAUUUAACAAGCCAGCAGUUUAUUCCAUCACUGCUACAAGCCUGAUCCAAGAACUUUGCAAUUACUGCUCUUAUUCCUGUGACAAUGCCAAGUGACUUAGGAGCCCAAGUCCCAUUUUCAACAGUGGCUUAGGCAUACAGAAGACUACGUCUCCUUGAAGAACAUCAAUGGGACUUAGAUGCUGUAUAAAAUUUUCAAAGACACCUAUAAGCGUAGACUUGAGAAAGGGAGAACAGCCUAAUACCUUGAACACAGGACCGACAGACAAUUUCUGGAUUCUAUUACCAACUCUGUCAUAUGCAGUGUGACACCAAGGGGGGCAGAGGGCGUGAGAGGAAUCCCUCUCAGCAUGUGAAACUACUCCUUCCUUA
Mauremys mutica (yellowpond turtle) is the source of this 477-nucleotide long non-coding RNA. RefSeq lists it as uncharacterized. The record is from RefSeq and is a predicted model, not a curated record. The transcript is spliced from 4 exons. NCBI's taxonomy places the organism in Eukaryota, Metazoa, Chordata, Testudines, Geoemydidae.